This 205-nucleotide microRNA precursor is filed under the name Oryza sativa Indica Group (long-grained rice). RNAcentral describes it as "MIR812 microRNA precursor family". It matches the Rfam family "MIR812 microRNA precursor family". Lineage: Eukaryota; Viridiplantae; Streptophyta; Magnoliopsida; Poales; Poaceae. The record is from Rfam by way of RNAcentral.
AAUGUAUGACGCCGUUGACUUUUUAUUUAACGUUUGACUAUUCGUCUUAUUCAAAAAAUUUAUAUAAUUAUUAUUUAUUUUAUUGUGACUUGAUUCGUCAUCAAAUGUUCAUUGAUCAUGACAUAAUUUUUUCAUAUUUACUAUAAAAAUUUUAAAUAAAACGAAUGGUCAAAUGUUGGUCGAAAAAUCAACGGCGUCAUAUAUU